UUGAGACUCUCGGGAUCGGAUAAGACCGGAACGGUCUUUUUAUUUGAGAAGUUUGUCAAACUUGGUCAUUA
Molecule: ribosomal RNA, 71 nt
Filed under: Acaulospora sp. ZS2005
Lineage: Eukaryota; Fungi; Glomeromycota; Glomeromycetes; Diversisporales; Acaulosporaceae
Description: partial 18S ribosomal RNA
Source: RNAcentral